CCUCAGUGUGGGUGUUGCUAGGAGGAAGAAGCGGCCUGUGUUUCAAAGCCUCCGAGGAAGGAGUUUCCACCACACUCCGGGGCAGAGAAUUGAACAGCUCUCACAGCCAUAGAAUCAGAGACCUCACGAGCCAUCCAGUCCAAACCCAUUCUUCCAAGAAGCAGGAGAAUCACAUUCAAAGCAACCCCGACAGAUGGCCAUCCAGCCUCUGCUUAAAAGCCUCCAUCACACUCCGAGGCAUUUACAUAGCCGUGUUUUCCUCCACUUUGCCAACAACUCUAUGAAGUAGAUGAGAUGGAAUGUGACUCAUCCAAGAUUAUCAUUGUAUUGUGGUGGACAAGUGAUGAAGUCUCAAACUGCUGAAAUGGAGCGUAUAUUCAGAUUUGACAGCGUCAGACUUGAGCUUGCAUUUAAUGGAAAGCAAUCAUUUAGGAUGGGUGAAACGAACCUGCCCUUCCAGAUCAGAGAAUCAAAACUAUCAGCAGGGAGGAUGGACACCAACAAAGGGCUCCCUCUGCGAGGAGCACAAGAAUGCCUACUCAUUGCACUUGCAAACUCCUUGUGAGGUAGGUGAACACUUUCCCCAUGUUGUACAGAUAGAAGUGAAACAGAAAAGGCUCUGUGGUUUUGGCAAAGGCUCCCGCACCAUUCCAGCCAAAACAGAAGCUAAUUUUCCUGCAGGCACAAACCUUUUCCCUUCAGGAAAAGUUGCUUCUCCCAAACACUCUUUGUGGCUGAAUUACUUGAUAUCAAUUAACGCUGCCUUCAUUAAAAGCACCUUCUCAUA
This is a long non-coding RNA of Anolis carolinensis (green anole), 787 nucleotides long. RefSeq lists it as uncharacterized. The transcript has 4 exons. NCBI's taxonomy places the organism in Eukaryota, Metazoa, Chordata, Lepidosauria, Squamata, Anolidae. The record is from RefSeq and is a predicted model, not a curated record.